RNAcentral lists this long non-coding RNA (337 nucleotides) under Panax ginseng (ginseng). Its description in RNAcentral is "long non-coding RNA (PGIN_LNC002530)". Lineage: Eukaryota; Viridiplantae; Streptophyta; Magnoliopsida; Apiales; Araliaceae. The record is from RNAcentral.
CAAAGACAUGGAUUUAGAUCUUUUGGAUUGGUGUCAUAGAAAUAAGUUUAGAAUUCUAGGUUUUAAAAAACAGAGAAUCUCUUUUUUGAGAGUAUAUAGUUUUAGUUGAAACCUUUUUGCUAAUUGUUUCUACUGGCCCUUAGGAUGGUAGGUUCUCAUUCUUAUUUCGUCUCUUUCAGGCACAUUAACUCAAAAAUUCUUUCGAAUUUCACCCCCAUCUUAACAUGGUUCUCAUUAUAUUCAUCCUUCAACAAUAUAAAGGAUUUUCGGAGUUGAUAGUUUUUUAACAUUUAACAUUGUAUUUUUUUGGUUCGUACAUAUACUUUCAGAACUCAGC